Molecule: ribosomal RNA, 923 nt
Filed under: Salmonella enterica subsp. enterica serovar Agona
Lineage: Bacteria; Pseudomonadati; Pseudomonadota; Gammaproteobacteria; Enterobacterales; Enterobacteriaceae
Description: partial 23S ribosomal RNA
Rfam family: Bacterial large subunit ribosomal RNA
Source: RNAcentral
CAGCGACUUAUAUUCUGUAGCAAGGUUAACCGUAUAGGGGAGCCGCAGGGAAACCGAGUCUUAACCGGGCGUUAAGUUGCAGGGUAUAGACCCGAAACCCGGUGAUCUAGUCAUGGGCAGGUUGAAGGUUGGGUAACACUAACUGGAGGACCGAACCGACUAAUGUUGAAAAAUUAGCGGAUGACCUGUGGCUGGGGGUGAAAGGCCAAUCAAACCGGGAGAUAGCUGGUUCUCCCCGAAAGCUAUUUAGGUAGCGCCUCGUGAAUUCAUCUCCGGGGGUAGAGCACUGUUUCGGCUAGGGGGCCAUCCCGGCUUACCAACCCGAUGCAAACUGCGAAUACCGGAGAAUGUUAUCACGGGAGACACACGGCGGGUGCUAACGUCCGUCGUGAAGAGGGAAACAACCCAGACCGCCAGCUAAGGUCCCAAAGUCAUGGUUAAGUGGGAAACGAUGUGGGAAGGCCCAGACAGCCAGGAUGUUGGCUUAGAAGCAGCCAUCAUUUAAAGAAAGCGUAAUAGCUCACUGGUCGAGUCGGCCUGCGCGGAAGAUGUAACGGGGCUAAACCAUGCACCGAAGCUGCGGCAGCGACACUCAGGUGUUGUUGGGUAGGGGAGCGUUCUGUAAGCCUGCGAAGGUGGCCUGUGAGGGUUGCUGGAGGUAUCAGAAGUGCGAAUGCUGACAUAAGUAACGAUAAAGCGGGUGAAAAGCCCGCUCGCCGGAAGACCAAGGGUUCCUGUCCAACGUUAAUCGGGGCAGGGUGAGUCGACCCCUAAGGCGAGGCCGAAAGGCGUAGUCGAUGGGAAACGGGUUAAUAUUCCCGUACUUGGUGUUACUGCGAAGGGGGGACGGAGAAGGCUAUGUUGGCCGGGCGACGGUUGUCCCGGUUUAAGCGUGUAGGUGUGUGUUCCAGGUAAAUCCGGUU